Molecule: ribosomal RNA, 497 nt
Filed under: uncultured bacterium
Lineage: Bacteria
Description: partial 16S ribosomal RNA
Rfam family: Bacterial small subunit ribosomal RNA
Source: RNAcentral
GAUGAACGCUGGCGGCGUGCCUAAUACAUGCAAGUCGAGCGAACGGACGAGAAGCUUGCUUCUCUGAUGUUAGCGGCGGACGGGUGAGUAACACGUGGAUAACCUACCUAUAAGACUGGGAUAACUUCGGGAAACCGUAGCUAAUACCGGAUAAUAUUUUGAACCGCAUGGUUCAAAAGUGAAAGACGGUCUUGCUGUCACUUAUAGAUGGAUCCGCGCUGCAUUAGCUAGUUGGUAAGGUAACGGCUUACCAAGGCAACGAUGCAUAGCCGACCUGAGAGGGUGAUCGGCCACACUGGAACUGAGACACGGUCCAGACUCCUACGGGAGGCAGCUGUAGGGAAUCUUCCGCAAUGGGCGAAAGCCUGACGGAGCAACGCCGCGUGAGUGAUGAAGGUCUUCGGAUCGUAAAACUCUGUUAUUAGGGAAGAACAUAUGUGUAAGUAACUGUGCACAUCUUGACGGUACCUAACCAGAAAGCCACGGCUAACUACGUG